GACAGGGACCCCUAACUACACACCCGAAUCCUAGCUUUAGUAUCAGUAUGGAAGCCAGUCAGGAGUCUAAGGAGGCACUUAUCGAUAUCUGUACUUGGAGAAGAGCAACCAGACCCUGAGGAGUCUGAAGUAAAAGAAGGAGAUGAUCCGGGGGUGUGUGUGUGCCUUGUACCUGUGGCGCCUCGUGUUCAAAUGCUGGCUUUCCAGAGUGGUAGUUAUCACAGAGGAUUCUUCCCUCGCUUCUACAACUUGCAAACAGGAGGUUCUGUCAAGGAGCUAGACCAGAGUGAAGAAUUCAGGAACAGCAGAGAUCAGAGACCUUCAGCAACACAGAAGCCAAAGACCGUCUUGGAACUGUGAUGGGGUGAAGGCUCUGAAGCAACAGACAAGACCCAAGUCAGCAGCACAACAGCUACAAAGAGGCUUGUAUUCUCAAAGGCACAGAACAUGAUACCAUCACCCUCAGUACUAUGCACUUAAAUAACCUUUUUAAUAUGAAGUUUCAUCCUUUAUCCAAUAAGAUUCUAUAUGUAAACAGCUUGGUUUAUUUUAAACCUUAUACAGUCUGACUGAUUCUUCCACCUCAAACUCUAAAUCACCUGCUAGACAAAGGGUUGUAAGAUUUCACAAAGCUUUCAUUGUCUUGUUCACAGGAUUACUGGUGGCAGUGGGGACAUAAGUGAAGAGAAAUGUGGUUCCUAAGUAGGGUAGUCCUCGCUGGCGGAAAAGGCAGAUGUGUAGCAGACAGGAUCCUAAUAAAAGUAGUGUUUUGGCUUUGGGAUUAUAAACAUUGACAUUUUUGACCCUUAUACAACAGGAACGUUUAUGGAACAGCUCAGCCAACUGUCUUCAAAAGGCUCCACUGACACAAGGGCACUACAACAUGGUCAGUAGGUCAAUACCUGCAAGGAAUGGAGAGGGGGCUCUGUGUUUUGCCAUUCUGAAUUUCAUGAGCCAGCCUCAAGAGAUAUCUUCUGUUUAUCGAAAAAGCUUGCUGGUUCCUAUGCAGUUACUACUUUAUAAUAAUUGGUGCCUUGCCAGCUACUCCUAUUUUCUUCAGCACCUGCGAGAGCCAUUCUACACUGUACAACAGUUGUACAGACAGGAUACAUUAGAAGAGAGGAAGCACUAGUUGCUGGGUGGGAGUACAUGACAAGGAUAAUAGGGCUCUAUGUUUAUUCUCCCCUAUGCAGACAGAAAUAGGCCACUAACCGUACAAGCUGAACAAGAAUAAACUUACUCCCGUUUGUCCUGCCCUCCAGUAUACUCUAAAAUGGCACCAGUACAUACCAAGAUCUACCUUUCACCAUGAUGAAAAUAGUUCAAACUAUUUUGCAUGGAAUUUAAAGUUGAGAAAAUAAGGUAGGUAUAUCCAAAAAAGUUUUUCCCACAUGAUCACAUAGUGAACUACAUGAAAGAACCUUAGUAUUAACUGGCUGCUUAGGCAAAGACACAUGCGACCACUUCUGCGAUCACAGCAAUUUGAAAAAGGCCAACUUGAAUCACAGCAAUGAUUUUGGCUGUCCCUGUGGAAGAAGGCAGUUCAAACUAGCAAAGCUUCUGUGCACAGUAGCAUAUCCUGCUAUCACACAGAACAAGUAGCACCUCUGGUCUUUAUCAAAAAGCACUUAAGUAAAAAUCUGUGAUGUGUCUCUCAAAGAGCUUUUAGUUUCGCAUCCUUGCAGUGUAUUAUGACCAUCUGUUCUACCAUGCGUGGAGAGAAUACAUGGAGAAUUGUUACAUGAACUGGACUUUUAAGUUACAGUGGAGAGAAAGAAACACUGACACCCCUCUUAAGUGGGAUUUUUAAAUACCUUGUU
Hemicordylus capensis (graceful crag lizard) is the source of this 1820-nucleotide long non-coding RNA. RefSeq lists it as uncharacterized. The transcript has 3 exons. Lineage: Eukaryota; Metazoa; Chordata; Lepidosauria; Squamata; Cordylidae. The record is from RefSeq and is a predicted model, not a curated record.